GUUCUACUGUAUUGUGUCAACGUGUCCGAAAGAAGUUUUACUACUUUAAAUAGUACUUCGUACAGCUAUUGAAUUGGAAAGGCGAUGAAAAUUUAAUUAUAAACAUAAAAAGUCUAAGUAAAUACCCCCAUCUGCUUUCAUAUCACAAUAUACUUUUAGUGGUGUACUGUCCAAGGCAAUCCAAUAUUCCCCAUUUGAUAAGGAUGUCCCUUUUGUUCGUUGAAGAAUGUCUAAGCAUGAUUUUCCAGGAUAGCUGUAGUCACCAACCUUUGACUGAAUGCAACA
Molecule: non-coding RNA, 285 nt
Organism: Paramuricea clavata
Lineage: Eukaryota; Metazoa; Cnidaria; Anthozoa; Malacalcyonacea; Plexauridae
Source: the annotation of a GenBank genome assembly